UACAUGUGGGGCAAGCGUUGUCCGGAUUUAUUGGGCGUAAAGAGCGUGUAGGCGGUUAGGUAGGUCCGUUGUGAAAACUCGAGGCUCAACCUCGAGACGCCGAUGGAAACCCCCUAACUAGAGUCCGGAAGAGGAGAGUGGAAUUCCUGGUGUAGCGGUGAAAUGCGCAGAUAUCAGGAAGAACACCCGUGGCUAAGGCGGCUCUCUAGUACGGUACUGACGCUGAGACGCGAAAGCGUGGGGAGCGAACAGG
This 253-nucleotide ribosomal RNA is filed under the name uncultured bacterium. Its description in RNAcentral is "partial 16S ribosomal RNA". It matches the Rfam family "Bacterial small subunit ribosomal RNA", at positions 524 to 776 of the family's 1533-position model. The record is from RNAcentral.